RNAcentral lists this long non-coding RNA (843 nucleotides) under Linum usitatissimum (flax). Its description in RNAcentral is "long non-coding RNA (LUSI_LNC003959)". The record is from RNAcentral. Lineage: Eukaryota; Viridiplantae; Streptophyta; Magnoliopsida; Malpighiales; Linaceae.
UUCGUUAGGGCAUUACAUAUGACUAACAAAGUUUUGAUUUCAGGGGAAGCUUACCUUUGCAGCAAGGUGCUUACAGGUGGGAGUGUCGAGAGGAGAAUCGAGAAGGAUCAUGAGUGCUAGCUGCCGAUGAAGACCAAGAACGCGAAUGAGUAAUCAGAGGAACCAAGGAACUGAAAUAAGCGCUACAGAAGAUAACUAUUUGGUCAUAAUUGCCCUUCAGCUUCCAUAUGUGCAAUCUCUCUCUCUCUCCAAUGUCCAACUCCACAACCACCUUUAAACCAGAUGAAUUUGCCAGCAAAUAAAAUCUUGAAGAUCCCAAAGGAAGCAAUAUAGCAUAAACCAAGAAACCAACGGAUUUCGACUUGAAGAACAAUCAAGUGGAAACCAAGAUUUACUCUUGAAAAUAGGAUAAAGCAAAUGAUUGGGAAAACAAAAAUCAUUAAAACUAUCAAGACUAAUCUAUAUAAAAAUCAUUUACUUCAAACACAUAGUUGCUUGUUUCCACAAUGUAACCUAAUCUUAUAGGUCAUCCCAAAGGUGUUCAUGUUUUACUUUCACGAGCUGGAAGACAUUUGACUACCAAGAGAACUUAUGAUUAAUGAUUUACUUGACCGAAAAUAUGAACUUGAAACUUAGAUCGAAACGAUUGAAGCUUUAAUCUGUUUCUUAGCAAGAAAAUGAGUCAGCCACCCUACUAAUCGAUCCCUUACCUUGAAACGAAUCUAACCUAGAGGCGACUUGUUAGCCUGAGGGAGUCACCUACGUUCUGCCGUCGUGGAUCACCAGAAUCAGAGUCGGGAAGAUUGAUGUAUUCGCUCUUUUAAAGAUCGAAACUCGAUCUUU